GCUUAGGCACAAACAAAGAUUGAUAUCCGCCAGAAAAUUACGGGCAAAAGCCUAAAACUCAAAAGACUUGACGGUGUCUCAACCUACCUAGAGGAGCCUGUUCCAUAAUCGACAACCCCCGAUAAACCCAACCUUUCUUAGAUUUUUCAGCCUAUAUACCGCCGUCGUCAGCUUACCUUUUAAAAGCCACAAAGUAAGCCAAGUAGUUAAUCACUAAUAAGUCAGGUCAAGGUGUAGCUUAUAGAGAGGAGGAAAUGGGCUACAUUUUUUAAUCUAAACUAAACGGACUUCACCCUGAACACACUUUAAAGGAAAAUAAAGGCGGAUUUAGCAGUAAUUUAAACAAGAACAUUUAAAUUAACAUUUAGCCCUGAGACAUGUACACA
This 386-nucleotide ribosomal RNA is filed under the name Riama sp. RNAcentral's name for it is "partial 12S ribosomal RNA". It matches the Rfam family "Bacterial small subunit ribosomal RNA", at positions 794 to 1389 of the family's 1533-position model. The record is from RNAcentral. Lineage: Eukaryota; Metazoa; Chordata; Lepidosauria; Squamata; Gymnophthalmidae.